CCGGGCACGCUCCCCGCGCCGCUCUGCAGGCUCCCGGAGGCGGCGGCGGCGGCGUCCGCGCUGCUGCCCGAGGAUAAUCCCGACGACGAGUUUCAGAUCUAUAUUGGACUAGAAUUAUUCAGCUCUUCUAGUAGCAUGUCAAAUGCAACAUCCAGGCCAUAUGUUGGGCAUUUUCUAUGUCUCCCUGCUUUCAUCAAAGUAUGCAGUAUGUAUGUACUAUGGACCAAAUUCAUCCCCGAUGUAACUGCAGAAGUCAACAACAUUUUGGAUUUAUUUGGAAAUAUGUAAAAAGCCUAAGUACAAAAGCCAACUGUAAAACUGGAAACCUUUCUGGGAAAUUGCUUGACUCCACAAAGAACAUACAGAUAGACUGUGAGAACUCUGUGCAGAUGAAGAUCUCAAUGUGUUAAUCAGAUGGAAAAG
Molecule: long non-coding RNA, 423 nt
Organism: Trachemys scripta elegans
Lineage: Eukaryota; Metazoa; Chordata; Testudines; Emydidae
Exons: 4
Source: RefSeq, a predicted model, not a curated record